RNAcentral lists this ribosomal RNA (280 nucleotides) under uncultured bacterium. Its description in RNAcentral is "partial 16S ribosomal RNA". It matches the Rfam family "Bacterial small subunit ribosomal RNA", at positions 506 to 784 of the family's 1533-position model. The record is from RNAcentral.
UGCCAGCCGCCGCGGUAACACGGGGGGGCGCAAGCGUUAUUCGGAAUUAUUGGGCGUAAAGGGCGCGCAGGCGGUCUUGUCCGUCAGGUGUGAAAGCUCGGGGCUCAACCGGAGGACUGCCAUUGAAACUGUAGGGCUUGAGUACAGUAGAGGUAGGCGGAAUUUAUGAUGUAGCGGUGAAAUGCAUAGAUAUCAUAAAGAACACCGAUAGCGAAGGCAGCUUACUAUGCUGUUACAGACGCUGAGGCACGAAAGCGUGGGGAGCGAACAGGAUUAGAUA